RNAcentral lists this ribosomal RNA (478 nucleotides) under uncultured bacterium. RNAcentral's name for it is "bacterial SSU rRNA". It matches the Rfam family "Bacterial small subunit ribosomal RNA", at positions 45 to 507 of the family's 1533-position model. The record is from RNAcentral.
GGCUUAACACAUGCAAGUCGAGGGGAAACGAUAUUGGAAGCUUGCUUCCGAUAGGCGUCGACCGGCGCACGGGUGAGUAACGCGUAUCCAACCUGCCCAUCCACGUUGGGGAUAACCUUGCGAAAGUAAGACUAAUACCCAAUGACGUCUCGUAGAAGACAUCUGAAAGAGAUUAAAGAUUUAUCGGUGUACGAUGGGGAUGCGUUCCAUUAGGUAGUAGGCGGGGUAACGGCCCACCUAGCCUACGAUGGAUAGGGGUUCUGAGAGGAAGGCCCCCCACAUUGGAACUGAGACACGGUCCAAACUCCUACGGGAGGCAGCAGUGAGGAAUAUUGGUCAAUGGACGAGAGUCUGAACCAGCCAAGUAGCGUGAAGGAUGAAGGUCUUACGGAUUGUAAACUUCUUUUAUAAGGGAAUAAACCCUCCCACGUGUGGGAGCUUGUAUGUACCUUAUGAAUAAGCAUCGGCUAACUCCGUG